GCCGUCGUGGUGAAAUUGGUAUACACGCAAGACUUAAAAUCUUGUGCUCUCAACAAGCGUGUGGGUUCGACCCCCUCCGACGGCACCC
This 88-nucleotide transfer RNA is filed under the name Candidatus Shapirobacteria bacterium RIFOXYA1_FULL_39_17. RNAcentral describes it as "tRNA-Leu". It matches the Rfam family "tRNA". From Rfam's summary of the family: Transfer RNA (tRNA) molecules are approximately 80 nucleotides in length. Their secondary structure includes four short double-helical elements and three loops (D, anti-codon, and T loops). The record is from RNAcentral. Lineage: Bacteria; Candidatus Shapironibacteriota. RNAcentral also lists the same sequence under 4 other names.